ACAGUUGGAGGGAUCAAGUCCCAAUUCCCAAGAUUUUUCUGGACUAGAGACUGUAAUAAAUUGUCAGGAUUUUGGUUAGCACUUUUGUUUUGACCAUCAAUUUGAGGUUGGUUAGUGGUGGAUAAUUUUGCCUUAGUGUUAACCACAGGCGACUGGAUUUUCCAAGGGUGACUGGUGACAUCAUCAAGCUCUUUAACUUGGGUAAGGGUAUGACAUAUAACAUGUGAUCGAGAAUUGUCGGAGAUAAGGGGUAUAGUAUCCAAAGUCUUGAGAAGAGUCUGGAUUCCACCUAAGGAAGUGUCCUUACUAUCAUCCAAGUCAUCAAAAUCUUCAAGUUUAGGUUCAUAGACUAGAUCUUCUAACGACUCCUCUAUUACAUUCUUUCGUUCUUCCAUGACUAAGGUUCGAUUAGGACAUUUAGAAGAAAUGUGACCAAAGUCUUUACAGUUGACGUAGAACAAGUGAGAAGAAGACCUUGGAGUUUCAGAAAUUUUACCCUGAUUUUUCAAGAUUGGAGAACCAUUAGAAGGGGGAGAUCUUAGAAGGGACUUAACGGGAGGAGGUGGAGCCAAUGAAGCCAAAUGAUGAUUAUAAAAAAUUUUACCCUUAUUUUUUAAAAUUGGAGGAACAUCAGACGGGAUAGGUCUUAGAAGGGACUUAACGGGAGGAAUUGGAGCCAAUGACACCGAAGGAUGAUUGUCAAUAUGCUUUCUACAUGGAAAAGAAGAUCUUGGACUAUCACAACCUUUACAAUUAUUUUUCCAAAUAGGAGGAACAUUAGACGGAAACGGUUUUAUGAUAGACUUAUGAUGAGGUGACGAAUUGUCAAUAUAACAUAUGCUGAUCCAUAUUGAAAAACAAACAACUAUAUUACGACGAAUUUUCAGAGAACCAUUUUCUUUGUCUCUAUUAAGUUAUUUCAUUGUUUGAAAUAAGGGCCCGCAUAAUUGUAAACAUGGAAUUUGGGUAGGAAAAAAAUGAAUUUCGAGGAAUUGAAUUGCUUAGAAAUUGUUUUCCUGUAAAUUGUAAAUUAAUGUAUUUGAUUAAUAUAAUUUUUCACAUGAAAAAUGUUGAAAUAAAAGUGAUUUUUUGUAUUCGUUUGACUUUGUUUUACAUGAAAAUUGUCAAUUAAAGGGAUAGAUUUUGCUGAUAUUGAGAUGAAAUUUGUUUCUAUAACAAAAAAAAUCAAUAAAAAAAAAAUCAAUCAAAUGAAAGUAUAUAUCUUUUGGUAUUCGUUUGACUUUAUUUUAUAUGAAAAUUGUCAAUUAAAUUGAAAUAUUUUUUUACAAUAAUUCUUAGAAUUUGUUUUCAAUGCCAACCAAAAAAAAUAAAAAAAAUUGCUACAAUCAACUGGAAAAUGAAUUCUCACCAUUUCCUCCAAAAAAUGGACAAAAUCUAUGUGGCAUGAAAAUGUGGAAAAUGAAUUCCAAGAAAAUUUUUGCCAAUCAAACACCCAAAAAAUGGAAAGUUAAAAUUUCANAUCAAUUUGAGGUUGGUCAGUGGUGGAUAAUUUUGCCUUAGUGUUAACCACAGGCGACUGGAUUUUCCAAGGGUGACUGGUGACAUCAUCAAGCUCUUUAACUUGGGUAAGGGUAUGACAUAUAACAUGUGAUCGAGAAUUGUCGGAGAUAAGGGGUAUAGUAUCC
Molecule: long non-coding RNA, 1646 nt
Filed under: Olea europaea subsp. europaea
Lineage: Eukaryota; Viridiplantae; Streptophyta; Magnoliopsida; Lamiales; Oleaceae
Source: RNAcentral